RNAcentral lists this ribosomal RNA (921 nucleotides) under uncultured archaeon. RNAcentral's name for it is "bacterial SSU rRNA". It matches the Rfam family "Archaeal small subunit ribosomal RNA", at positions 1 to 922 of the family's 1478-position model. The record is from RNAcentral.
UUCCGGUUGAUCCUGCCAGAGGUUACUGCUAUCGGAGUUCGAGUAAGCCAUGCGAGUCUAAAGGUUUCUUCGGAGACCUUGGCGGACUGCUCAGUAACACGUGGAUAACCUACCCUUAGGACUGGAAUAACCCCGGGAAACUGGGGAUAAUACCGGAUAGAUCAGGGAUGCUGGAAUGCACCUUGAUCUAAAGCUCCGGCGCCUAAGGAUGGGUCUGCGGCCUAUCAGGUUGUAGUGGGUGUAACGUACCUACUAGCCGACGACGGGUACGGGUUGUGAGAGCAAGAGCCCGGAGAUGGAUUCUGAGACACGAAUCCAGGCCCUACGGGGUGCAGCAGGCGCGGAACCUUUACAAUGUGCGAAAGCAUGAUAAGGGGACUCCGAGUGCCAGCAUCUAAUGCUGGCUGUCCUUGUGCCUAAAAAGCACAAGAUAGCAAGGGCCGGGUAAGACCGGUGCCAGCCGCCGCGGUAACACCGGCGGCCCGAGUGGUAGCCGCUAUUAUUGGGUCUAAAGGGUCCGUAGCCGGUUCGGUAAGUCCUUUGGGAAAUCUGGUUGCUUAACAAUCAGACUGCCAAGGGAUACUGCUGAACUUGAGACCGGGAGAGGUAAGAGGUACUUCAGGGGUAGGAGUGAAAUCUUGUGAUCCCUGGGGGACCAUCUGUGGCGAAGGCGUCUUACCAGAACGGGUCUGACGGUGAGGGACGAAAGCUGGGGGCGCAAACCGGAUUAGAUACCCGGGUAGUCCCAGCCGUAAACGAUGCUCGCUAUGUGUCAGGUACGGUGCGACCGUAUCUGGUGCCGUAGGGAAGCCGUGAAGCGAGCCACCUGGGAAGUACGGUCGCAAGACUGAAACUUAAAGGAAUUGGCGGGGGAGCACUACAACGGGUGGAGCCUGCGGUUUAAUUGGAUUCAACGCCGGA